Molecule: ribosomal RNA, 484 nt
Filed under: uncultured bacterium
Lineage: Bacteria
Description: partial 16S ribosomal RNA
Rfam family: Bacterial small subunit ribosomal RNA
Source: RNAcentral
AAUGAACGCUGGCGGCAGGCCUAACACAUGCAAGUCGAGCGGAAGAAGGGUGCUUUCGUCUGGAGUUAGCGUGGGACGGGGGUGUGAUACCCAUGAAUCUCCUUGGCUUUGGGGGGGAACGACCGGAAAAGGGCGGUAAUACCGCAUACGACCUGCUGGUGAAAGAUGGGGGGGGUCGGACCUCACGCGAGCAGGUGGACCUAGGUCGGAUUAGCUAGUUGGUGGGGUAAAGGCCUACCAAGGCGACGAUCCGUAACUGGUCUGAGAGGAUGAUCAGUCACACUGGAACUGAGACACGGUCCAGACUCCUACGGGAGGCAGCAGUGGGGAAUAUUGGACAAAGGGCGAAAGCCUGAUCCAGCCAUGCCGCGUGUGUGAAGAAGGUCUUCGGAUUGUAAAGCACUUUAAGUUGGGAGGAAGGGCAGUAAGUUAAUACCUUGCUGUUUUGACGUUACCAACAGAAUAAGCACCGGCUAACUUCGUG